CCUACGGGUGGCAGCAGUGAGGAAUAUUGGUCAAUGGGCGGAAGCCUGAACCAGCCAAGUAGCGUGCAGGAUGACGGCCCUACGGGUUGUAAACUGCUUUUAUACGGGAAUAACGCGCCUUACGUGUAGCGCUUUGCAUGUAUCGUAUGAAUAAGGACCGGCUAAUUCCGUGCCAGCAGCCGCGGUAAUACGGAAGGUCCGGGCGUUAUCCGGAUUUAUUGGGUUUAAAGGGAGCGUAGGCCGCAUGUCAAGCGUGCGGUGAAAUGUCCGGGCGCAACCCGGGCCUUGCAGCGCGAACUGGGGUUCUUGAGACCGCGGAGAGUAGGCGGAAUUCGUGGUGUAGCGGUGAAAUGGUUAGAGA
Molecule: ribosomal RNA, 361 nt
Filed under: uncultured bacterium
Lineage: Bacteria
Description: partial 16S ribosomal RNA
Rfam family: Bacterial small subunit ribosomal RNA
Source: RNAcentral